RNAcentral lists this ribosomal RNA (263 nucleotides) under uncultured bacterium. Its description in RNAcentral is "partial 16S ribosomal RNA". It matches the Rfam family "Bacterial small subunit ribosomal RNA", at positions 793 to 1055 of the family's 1533-position model. The record is from RNAcentral.
GUCCUAGCCGUAAACGGUGAGCACUAGGUGUUGGAGGCAUUGACCCCUCCAGUGCCGCAGCUAACGCAAUAAGUGCUCCGCCUGGGGAGUACGGCCGCAAGGUUGAAACUCAAAGGAAUUGACGGGGGCCCGCACAAGCGGUGGAGCAUGUGGUUUAAUUCGACGCAACGCGAAGAACCUUACCCAGACUUGACAUGCAUUGGACCGGUGUGGAAACACACCUUCCCUUCGGGGCCGAUGCACAGGUGCUGCAUGGCUGUCGU